This 520-nucleotide ribosomal RNA is filed under the name uncultured Glomus. Its description in RNAcentral is "SSU rRNA". It matches the Rfam family "Eukaryotic small subunit ribosomal RNA", at positions 569 to 1094 of the family's 1831-position model. Lineage: Eukaryota; Fungi; Glomeromycota; Glomeromycetes; Glomerales; Glomeraceae. The record is from RNAcentral.
AGCAGCCGCGGUAAUUCCAGCUCCAAUAGCGUAUAUUAAAGUUGUUGCAGUUAAAAAGCUCGUAGCUGAAUUUCGGGAUCAAUAUAUCGGUCGUGCCUUGGUACGUACUGGUAUCAUUGGUUUCUCCUUUCUGACGAACCAUGAUGUCAUUAAUUUGGUGUUAUGGGAAGUUAGGACUGUUACUUUGAAAAAAUUAGAGUGUUUAAAGCAGGCUUUGGCUUGAAUACAUUAGCAUGGAAUAAUGAAAUAGGACGUUCGAACCUAUUUUGUUGAUUUCUAGGAUCAACGUAAUGAUUAAUAGGGAUAGUUGGGGGCAUUAGUAUUCAAUUGUCAGAGGUGAAAUUCUUGGAUUUAUUGAAGACUAACUACUGCGAAAGCAUUUGCCAAGGAUGUUUUCAUUAAUCAAGAACGAAANUUGGGGGCUCGAAGACGAUCAGAUACCGUCCUAGUCUCAACCAUAAACGAUGCCGACCAGGGAUCGGCGGAUGUUACUUUUAGGACUCCGCCGGCACCUUAUGAG